This 354-nucleotide long non-coding RNA is filed under the name Pan troglodytes (chimpanzee). RNAcentral describes it as "long non-coding RNA NONPTRT009067". The record is from RNAcentral. Lineage: Eukaryota; Metazoa; Chordata; Mammalia; Primates; Hominidae.
CUCCUAUGUCGCCUCCGCAGGCAUAGACAGAAAUGGGAACUUCUCUUUUGCUCCCCACAAAACAACCAGAGCAUGGAACAUAUGAAGUGAAGAAUAAUAUUUACUGAAUGAAGAAAUGAAUAUAACACUGCAGGCCUAGGUGGGAGCUUCCAGUGCCUCUUGUCAUCAUGCUGCUAUGUCCAGGAAGUGGGAGGUGGCACCAAUGUGUAGCCACCCUGCCUGAGCCCACCAGCCUUGGAGUCAGAACACCCUGGGGUAAAUCCUGGCUCAGCUCUUCUCAGCUAUGUGAUCUCGGCCACCACCACUGAGCCAUGUGGUUAUCCCAUCCAGCCUGCCACCACUGGACUGUAUGUA